AUACUUACCUGGCAUACCGUGAUCAAGAAGGCAGUUCCCCCAGGGCGAGGCCUUUUCAUUGCACUGCAACUUGGUUGACCCCUGCGAAUGCCCCAAAUGUGGGCAUCUCGGGCGCAUAAUUUUUGUUAGUAUUAUACUGUAUUAAUAGCUUAAAA
RNAcentral lists this small nuclear RNA (155 nucleotides) under Nilaparvata lugens (brown planthopper). Its description in RNAcentral is "U1 spliceosomal RNA". It matches the Rfam family "U1 spliceosomal RNA". Rfam says of the family: U1 is a small nuclear RNA (snRNA) component of the spliceosome (involved in pre-mRNA splicing). The record is from RNAcentral. Lineage: Eukaryota; Metazoa; Arthropoda; Insecta; Hemiptera; Delphacidae.